GACGAACGCUGGCGGCGUGCUUAACACAUGCAAGUCGAACGGGUCUGCCCUGUUUUUUGCGGGGUGGGUCAGUGGCGAACGGGUGAGUAACACGUGAGUAACCUGCCCCUCACUUCUGGAUAACCGCUUGAAAGGGUGGCUAAUACGGUGUGUUCUGGCUGUGCCGCAUGGUGUGGCUGGGAAAGAUUCACUUUUGUGGUGUUUUGGUGGGGGAUGGGCUCGCGGCCUAUCAGCUUGUUGGUGGGGUGAUGGCCUGCCAAGGCUUUGACGGGUAGCCGGCCUGAGAGGGUGGGCGGUCACACUGGGACUGAGAUACGGCCCAGACUCCUGCGGGAGGCAGCAGUGGGGGGUAUUGCACAAUGGGCGGAAGCCUGAUGCAGCGACGUCGCGUGAGGGAUGGAGGCCUGCGGGUUGUGAACCUCUUUCGCCGGUGAAGAAGGUCCUGCUCUUUGUGGUGGGGUUGACGGUAGCCGGGUUAUGAAGCGCCGGCUAACUACGUG
RNAcentral lists this ribosomal RNA (500 nucleotides) under uncultured bacterium. RNAcentral's name for it is "partial 16S ribosomal RNA". It matches the Rfam family "Bacterial small subunit ribosomal RNA", at positions 28 to 507 of the family's 1533-position model. The record is from RNAcentral.